GACGAACGCUGGCGGCGUGCUUAACACAUGCAAGUCGAACGGAAAGGCCCUGCUUUUGUGGGGUGCUCGAGUGGCGAACGGGUGAGUAACACGUGAGUAACCUGCCCUUGACUUUGGGAUAACUUCAGGAAACUGGGGCUCAUACCGGAUAGGAGCUCCUGCUGCAUGGUGGGGGAUGGAAAGUUUCGGCGGUUGGGGAUGGACUCGCGGCUUAUCAGCUUGGUGGUGGGGUAGUGGCUUACCAAGGCUUUGACGGGUAGCCGGCCUGAGAGGGUGACCGGCCACAUAGGUACGGAGAUGCGGACCAGACUCCGACGGGAUGCAGCAGAGGACAAUAGUGCACAAGGGGCGGAAGCCUCAUGCAGCGACGCGGCGGGCGAGAUGACGUCCGGCGGGUUAUAAACCUCUAUCGCCUGAGACGAAGCGUGAGUGACGGUAAUGAGUAAAGAAGCACCAGCUAACUA
This 464-nucleotide ribosomal RNA is filed under the name uncultured bacterium. RNAcentral describes it as "partial 16S ribosomal RNA". It matches the Rfam family "Bacterial small subunit ribosomal RNA", at positions 28 to 503 of the family's 1533-position model. The record is from RNAcentral.